RNAcentral lists this ribosomal RNA (506 nucleotides) under uncultured bacterium. RNAcentral's name for it is "partial 16S ribosomal RNA". It matches the Rfam family "Bacterial small subunit ribosomal RNA", at positions 28 to 523 of the family's 1533-position model. The record is from RNAcentral.
GAUGAACGCUAGCUACAGGCUUAACACAUGCAAGUCGGGGGGUAACGAGAGGAAAGCUUGCUUUCCUUGUCGACGACCGGCGCACGGGUGAGUAACGCGUAUCCAACCUGCCCCCAACUAGGGAAUAACCUUGCGAAAGCAAGACUAAUACCCUAUAAGUUCCUCAGAUGUCAUCUGACGAGGAAUAAAGAUUUAUCGGUUGUGGAUGGGGAUGCGUCUGAUUAGCUUGUUGGCGGGGUAACGGCCCACCAAGGCAACGAUCAGUAGGGGUUCUGAGAGGAAGGUCCCCCACAUUGGAACUGAGACACGGUCCAAACUCCUACGGGAGGCAGCAGUGAGGAAUAUUGGUCAAUGGGCGGAAGCCUGAACCAGCCAAGUAGCGUGCAGGAUGACGGCCCUAUGGGUUGUAAACUGCUUUUAUACAGGAAUAAAGUUAGCCACGUGUGGUUAUUUGUAGGUACUGUAUGAAUAAGGACCGGCUAAUUCCGUGCCAGCAGCCGCAGUAA